CCAAAUUUAUAUUACUUUCGACAGAAAAGAAGAUAAAGGAAAAACUAGCACUGCUUCAACUUUACGAAGAAAAACAGAAACGUAUGGAAGAAAAUGAAAAAGCCUUCAUGGACUGGUUGGAACACUCAAAAAACAGACCUAAACCUGUUCCCCUGAAUCAAGGACUAAAAAGUUUGUGUUCAUCUAUGUCAAUCACAUAUAUAAAUCCUGUUCCUUGGGUUCCAAAUUUGGAAGAAUCACAUAAACCAGCAUCUCAAUAAAAACCCAUGCAAUUUUCUGUUACUUAUCCUAGAUAGUAAAGAAAACACCAUUAAAUGGGAUAAUAAAACAAUGCUUGCAUUUUAUUGUCAAUAAUAUGCAUUGACUAAUACCUAAACUUAAAGUUGUAUAUAGGGUUAUUCCAUGAGAAAAUAUUUUAUAAAAAUUACACAUUCAUACCGAAAUUGGAAAUUCUAAUAACUUGUCACUAAUUAAAUUUUCAUUUUAACAUU
Leptinotarsa decemlineata (Colorado potato beetle) is the source of this 491-nucleotide long non-coding RNA. Lineage: Eukaryota; Metazoa; Arthropoda; Insecta; Coleoptera; Chrysomelidae. The record is from RefSeq and is a predicted model, not a curated record.